AAAGUCAUCUGCUAAACUACUAAUUUUUACCAAGUUAUAAUAGUAUUAUAUUGUUUAGUUUAUUUUGCUAAAUAGGUUUAUGAAAGGUUAGAAAGAAUACACAAGGUAUAUUUUUUUAUCGUGGCAAUAUUCCUUAAUGAUUAUCUUAAUAUAUACUUACCUAAAAUUGUUAAUGGACUUAGGUAAAACAACAAUUGUGCGGUAUCAGAAAUUAAAAGGUCGAUGAAGAAAAAUGAGGGUAGUGCAGAUGAAUAGAUCAGAAGGAUCAGUUUCAGUACUCAGUAGUUGCUGCAGUUUGACAAUGAUUUCACAACAAUCAAUAAUCAACCCCUGGCUGAUACCAGUGCAUUUUUUUAGGAAAAGUGUAAUAUUUAAAUGCAAAUUAAAAGACUUAUAAUA
Molecule: long non-coding RNA, 399 nt
Organism: Anoplophora glabripennis (Asian longhorned beetle)
Lineage: Eukaryota; Metazoa; Arthropoda; Insecta; Coleoptera; Cerambycidae
Exons: 2
Source: RefSeq, a predicted model, not a curated record